Non-coding RNA from Ceratobasidium sp. 370, 100 nucleotides. Lineage: Eukaryota; Fungi; Basidiomycota; Agaricomycetes; Cantharellales; Ceratobasidiaceae. The record is from the annotation of a GenBank genome assembly.
GGGCGCGUAGUGGAGUGGUUACCACGUUGGUCUUCGACCUGCAAAUCCCCGAUUUGCUUACGUCAACCAAAGUUCGUCGGUUCGAUCCCGGCCGCGCUCA